AUAUCAAUAAGCGGAGGAAAAGAAACCAACUGGGAUUGCCUCAGUAACGGCGAGUGAAGCGGCAACAGCUCAAAUUUGAAAUCUGACUCUCACGGGUCCGAGUUGUAAUUUGUAGAGGAUGUUUCGGGUGCGAUCCGGGCCUAAGUUCCUUGGAACAGGACGUCAUAGAGGGUGAGAAUCCCGUAUGCGGCCAUGGUUCAACCCCGUGUGAAACUCCUUCGACGAGUCGAGUUGUUUGGGAAUGCAGCUCAAAAUGGGUGGUAAAUUUCAUCUAAAGCUAAAUAUUGGCCAGAGACCGAUAGCGCACAAGUA
This 312-nucleotide ribosomal RNA is filed under the name uncultured Leotiomycetes. RNAcentral describes it as "partial large subunit ribosomal RNA". It matches the Rfam family "Eukaryotic large subunit ribosomal RNA", at positions 40 to 350 of the family's 3401-position model. The record is from RNAcentral. Lineage: Eukaryota; Fungi; Ascomycota; Leotiomycetes.